AUACGGAAGGUCCGGGCGUUAUCCGGAUUUAUUGGGUUUAAAGGGAGCGCAGGCGGAGCUGCAAGCGUGACGUCAAAUUUCGGGGCUCAACCCCGUCUCGCGUCGCGAACUGCGUCCCUUGGUUGCGGGAAGGGGAGGCGGAACUCGUGGUGUAGCGGGUACAUGCAUAGAUAUCACGAAGAACUCCGAUCGCGAAGGCAGCCUUCCGGCCCGUCAACGACGCUCAUGCUCGAAGGUGCGGGUAUCAAACAGGAUUAGAUACCCUGGUAGUCCGCACAGUAAACGAUGGACACCCGCGGUUUGGCCUAUAUGGCUGAGCCGCCAAGCGAAAGCGUUAAGUGUCCCACCUGGGGAGUACGCCGGCAACGGUGAAACUCAAAGGAAUUGGCGGGG
RNAcentral lists this ribosomal RNA (393 nucleotides) under uncultured bacterium. RNAcentral describes it as "partial 16S ribosomal RNA". It matches the Rfam family "Bacterial small subunit ribosomal RNA", at positions 523 to 918 of the family's 1533-position model. The record is from RNAcentral.